GAGGGUAUAGCGCAGUGGUAGAGUGCAUGCCUAGCAUGCAUGAGGUCCUGGGUUCAAUUCCCAGCAUCUCCA
RNAcentral lists this transfer RNA (72 nucleotides) under Camelus bactrianus (Bactrian camel). It matches the Rfam family "tRNA". From Rfam's summary of the family: Transfer RNA (tRNA) molecules are approximately 80 nucleotides in length. Their secondary structure includes four short double-helical elements and three loops (D, anti-codon, and T loops). Lineage: Eukaryota; Metazoa; Chordata; Mammalia; Artiodactyla; Camelidae. RNAcentral also lists the same sequence under 1 other name. The record is from Rfam by way of RNAcentral.